CAAUAGCGUAUAUUAAAGUUGUUGUGGUUAAAAAGCUCGUAGUUGGAUUUCUGCUGAGGACGACCGGUCCGCCCUCUGGGUGAGUAUCUGGCUCGGCCUUGGCAUCUUCUUGGGGAACGUAACUGCACUUGACUGUGUGGUGCGGUAUCCAGGACUUUUACUUUGAGGAAAUUAGAGUGUUUCAAGCAGGCGCACGCCUUGAAUACAUUAGCAUGGAAUAAUAAGAUAGGACCUUGGUUCUAUUUUGUUGGUUCUAGAGCUGAGGUAAUGAUUAAUAGGGACAAUUGGGGGCAUUCGUAUUAACGCGUCAGAGGUGAAAUUCUUGGAUUUAUGAAAGACUAACUACUGCGAAAGCAUUUGCCAAGGAUGUUUUCAUUAAUCAAGAACGAAAGUUAGGGGAUCGAAGACGAUCAGAU
Molecule: ribosomal RNA, 416 nt
Filed under: uncultured eukaryote
Lineage: Eukaryota
Description: SSU rRNA
Rfam family: Eukaryotic small subunit ribosomal RNA
Source: RNAcentral